AUUGAACGCUGGCGGCAUGCCUUACACAUGCAAGUCGAACGGCAGCACGGGAGCAAUCCUGGUUGCGCGUGGCGAACGGGUGAGUAAUACACCGGAACGUGCUCAGCAGUGGGGGAUAACCCGGCGAAAGCCGGACUAAUACCGCAUACGACCUACGGGUGAAACCGGGGGAUCGCAAGACCUUUUGCUAUCGUAGCGGUCGAUGUCAGAUUUGCUAGUUGGUGGGGUAAAGGCCUACUUAGGCGACGAUCUGUAGCUGGUCUGAGAGGACGACCAGCCACACGAGGAGUGAGACACGGACCAGAGUACUACGGGAGGCAGCAGUGGGGAAUGUUAGACAGUGGGCGCAAGCAUGAUACAGCGAGGCGACGUGCGAGAAAAAAACCUUCGGGUUGUAAACCGGUUUUGUCAGGGAAGAAACGCUCCGGGCUAAUACCAAGGAGUAAUGACGGUAACUGAAGAAUAAGCACCGGCUAACUACGUG
This 484-nucleotide ribosomal RNA is filed under the name uncultured bacterium. RNAcentral describes it as "partial 16S ribosomal RNA". It matches the Rfam family "Bacterial small subunit ribosomal RNA", at positions 29 to 507 of the family's 1533-position model. The record is from RNAcentral.